CAGAUACACAUGCCUGUGACUUCAAAGAGGUUCUAACCCCCUUUCAAAAAAAACACAUUCGCACCCAUUUCCCCUGAAAGAGAAAUGAAAAGUCUCCUAGGAAAUCAUCUCCCAACAGCCUUUUCUGACUUGUAUCUCCUCCAUUUGUUCUCAAAUUCUGCUACCCAGAUGGAAAAGAGGGAAAUCGAGAAGAAGCCUGGACAACCUUUAUUUCUGACCAUUUCUGUGAUAUGAGGCUCAACAGUAUUUGGCAAGCUUCCAAAUCCUAAUUGCUCUCUAUUAAUCUUCCUCUGGCCACUGCUACCUAAUGGCAUUUGACACUAGAAGGCAGAAGAAGAGAUCUCGUCUUCCUCACUUUUCCUAAUCAGCACCCUGAGCAAGUAGACUCUGGAGCUUCUGCCAGGAGACGCAGGUAGAGAAUGUUUUGACAAUAAGCGUCAUUCGUCUGAGUACUUCGAGCUUUCUAAAUGUCCUCUUGCAGUGUAACUACUUCACUUUAAUUAAAUAGUGAGGCUGCAUUCCCAAUUUAUCCUAAGCCCCCAACACUCGUUUUUUGGAUUACAUUGUCAGUACUCUAGCAUCUGUAUUCCAAAGCACCUCACGUAGUAAACAGCACGUUCCUAAUAAAGACCCCUCUUAGAAUAACA
Molecule: long non-coding RNA, 647 nt
Filed under: Phascolarctos cinereus (koala)
Lineage: Eukaryota; Metazoa; Chordata; Mammalia; Diprotodontia; Phascolarctidae
Description: lncRNA (ENSPCIG00000036367.1)
Source: RNAcentral